UGGGUUUGGAAAAAAAUUCGCAAAGAAGAAAUUUGCUUCAAAACUCUACCUUAAGACAGAAAUGCAAAUUCUGCCUCAAGACUGAGUUUUGAAGGCAAAACUUUAUCUUGUGAAUUUUUAAAAUUUUUUAACAGUGCAGGGAUUCAAAUUCGAAACCUUGAGAUUUUUAGCUAAGGGUAAGAAUUAAAGACUAUAAAUUUGAGGGAUAAAAAUUAAAGACCACCCAAAAUAAGGAAAUUCCUGCGAAUUGCCCCUAAUAUUAUGCGAUUAAAAAAGCCCACAAUUACGCCUAUUUUUCAGAGCUAUUAAUAUAGAACCCUUUAUAAAAGCCUCACAUCGCCCCUUUAUACUCCUUCAGAAAAUUAGGGUUUUCCUCCAUAGAAGGUCAGGUUUUACACCUCCCACUUCUAUUUAUCGUAAUAUUCAUGGUUGGACUCAAUGGUGUAUGCCUAGAACUACAAAGGAAUUGUUGAGUUGCUUGGACAAUGCAAGUGGCGGUUUGACACAAAACACGGUGAAUUUUUUCUUAACAGCAUUUGGUGGACGAUAUGAAAAAACAGAAAUGAAAGGUGUUUGGAAGAUAGAUGCAGCUCAUUACAAAACAUUAAGAUGAAUUGUAUUUUGUUAUUCACUUUUGGUGUAAAGAAAAGUAUUUUGAUGAAGCUGAAUCAAUCAUAGAAGUCAUAGAAUCCCUGUAAGCUGUGCAUGAUAUGGUUUUUCUUUUUCCAUCUUUUGUAACUUGUAAAUAUGUUUAACGACACUAUCUUUGUGCUGCUGAUUAAUAUAUUGUUACCUAUGUCAAAAA
This is a long non-coding RNA of Lycium ferocissimum, 805 nucleotides long. RefSeq lists it as uncharacterized. The transcript is spliced from 2 exons. The record is from RefSeq and is a predicted model, not a curated record. NCBI's taxonomy places the organism in Eukaryota, Viridiplantae, Streptophyta, Magnoliopsida, Solanales, Solanaceae.